RNAcentral lists this ribosomal RNA (228 nucleotides) under uncultured Actinomycetales bacterium. RNAcentral describes it as "partial 16S ribosomal RNA". It matches the Rfam family "Bacterial small subunit ribosomal RNA", at positions 105 to 334 of the family's 1533-position model. The record is from RNAcentral. Lineage: Bacteria; Bacillati; Actinomycetota; Actinomycetes; Actinomycetales.
ACGGUGAGUAACACGUGGGUGAUAUGCCCUGCACUUCGGGAUAAGCUUGGGAAACUGGGUCUAAUACCGGAUAGGACCAUCGUUUAGUGUCGGUGGUGGAAAGUUUUUUCGGUGUGGGAUGAGCUCGCGGCCUAUCAGCUUGUUGGUGGGGUAAUGGCCUACCAAGGCGUCGACGGGUAGCCGGCCUGAGAGGGUGUACGGCCACAUUGGGACUGAGAUACGGCCCAG